Long non-coding RNA from Salvia miltiorrhiza (redroot sage), 396 nucleotides. RefSeq lists it as uncharacterized. The transcript is spliced from 3 exons. The record is from RefSeq and is a predicted model, not a curated record. NCBI's taxonomy places the organism in Eukaryota, Viridiplantae, Streptophyta, Magnoliopsida, Lamiales, Lamiaceae.
AAGGCUAUCCCAUUAGCCACCUUACCCUACUGCAGCCACCCUGCCAGCCCCCAAUUUCAGCUUCAAGCCAUGCCUAGAGGCAGGCUAUCAAAUUCCCAAACCUGCUUAAGCACGUUCAAGCUAACUUCAGUUAGCAUUCUCAAUAUCCAAGAUUUUCAGACUUCUUCCUCACACUAGAAAAUCCAAGUGCAAAGUUUCACUACAUCCGUUCAUUGAAGUUCAGUUAACAGCAGCUCAUCAGACCCCAACCAUUUGCCAAAUUUAUCAAAAGCAAGGAACUAUAUGAAAAAGCUUAGAGUCAAGUAUGGAGAUUGUAUUGGACAAGACAUUAUAGAUUAUUGUAAUAAAUAUUGAUAAUAAUAAUUAAUUAUAUAAUUCGAUAUUUGUUGUUUAUUA